AAUUAUCAAGUUUUGUAAAUGUAGUGUGAUAAUCAAAGUGGUGACAUAACAAUAUACUCCUAUUAGUAUUUUUCAUACGAUUGUCUUAUCACUUGAAGAAAAAAAAAGUAUGAAAUCAAGAGGUUAUAAAAGCAGCAUUUACGCAAUAAUUACUUGAAAGCAAAUUACCUCAAAGUGUAAUUCAUACCGAGCACCCAAACUGAAAUGCAAUUUAGCCGCACUGUAUAGAAGAUUAUUUUUGUAUACGGUCAAAAUUGGACUCGCCCUUUGUAUAACUAAUCAAGAUUAGAAUGUGAUAGGUUAAAGUUCGAACUCGUAUUAUAUCUGAUGAAACUGUACCAUUUGCACCAAGUAUUCAUCCAUACAUGCCUCCAGGAAUACAAAAAUACUACUGAAACAGCAUAGCAAUCUCACAAGAUACUACGUUGAAUUACAGCUACUAAACAGUGGUUUGAAGGAACCUAAGAAACAUACUGCAGUGCACUACCAGCAUUCAACCUUCAUGGAGCCUUUCAAGAUGGGCAGAAGGAACCUAAGAAACUUACUGCAGUGCACUACCAGCAUUCGACCUUCAUGGAGCCUUUCAAGAUGGGCAUCUCUACAACAUUAUCCAGUCAACCUUUAUGGCUGACAUGAAGAAAAGCAUGAGAAGUUCACUGGAGACGCAUCAACCACCAGCAAACAACAACUCUGCCCCUAUUUACUUAACUGGGCAGGCAACUCGGGGUAUUCUCAGUUGAGAACACCUAGAAUAGAGUCCUUUGGACCCCAAUUUCCACUUACCUGGCCAGACUCCAAACCUUGGAUUUUCUAGGGUUCAUACAGUCACUUUUAGGGUUCGACCUUU
This 847-nucleotide long non-coding RNA is filed under the name Nicotiana benthamiana. RNAcentral's name for it is "long non-coding RNA (NBEN_LNC023709)". Lineage: Eukaryota; Viridiplantae; Streptophyta; Magnoliopsida; Solanales; Solanaceae. The record is from RNAcentral.